Molecule: long non-coding RNA, 574 nt
Filed under: Citrus x clementina
Lineage: Eukaryota; Viridiplantae; Streptophyta; Magnoliopsida; Sapindales; Rutaceae
Description: Citrus clementina (C. clementina) long non-coding RNA (CCLE_LNC003473)
Source: RNAcentral
UUUAUAAUAAAGUUUUUUAUACCAAUAAGAUAGGAUAAAAUAAAAUAAAAAACAAUGGCAUGCUCGAAGUUUAUAUGAAAAGGAGGCCUAAUGUGAAAGCAAUUAUUUAAUCAAUUUUAAGCAUUGAGGUGUCAAAAUUGAGGUUCGAUCGUGUCAUCGUGGCAGAUAAUUGAAUAUAAAAUAAUAGUAAUAUAAUUGACCGAGUAAAAAGGAAGAACAUGACAAUUUCAAUUGACAUCCAUAAUGAGUAAAAGAAUCAAUGAAAAAGAAAGUGAGGAUGAGGGUUUUGAAUUUCUCUUUAAAUUCAAAGAGUAAUUAGCCGCAACAAACGCGAGUCAAUUGUGUCGAUAACUUUGAAAACUCGAAACCACGUUGCUUUGAAAAUCCUCUCAUUGAGGAAUUUCGAAGUCUCAUCCCUUUAAUCACUUUCAUUUUCUUGUGUUUUUUUUUUCCUUGAAGAAUGAUUCCACGUAUACUAUUCCUUGUUUGUAUUGCUCCCUCUUUCAACACUAUGUCAAUUUUAUAUUCAGUUGUCAUGAUAAGUCGUGUGAUUUAAUAAAGUCAGAUUUUAAUA